Molecule: ribosomal RNA, 424 nt
Filed under: uncultured bacterium
Lineage: Bacteria
Description: bacterial SSU rRNA
Rfam family: Bacterial small subunit ribosomal RNA
Source: RNAcentral
GGGGAAUAUUGGACAAUGGGCGCAAGCCUGAUCCAGCAACGCCGCGUGGAGGACGAAGGUCUUCGGAUCGUAAACUCCUGUCAGGCGGGACGAAGGCUUCCGGGCAAAUAGUCUGGAAGCUUGACGGUACUGCCAGAGGAAGCCCCGGCUAACUACGUGCCAGCAGCCGCGGUAAUACGUAGGGACCAAGCGUUGUUCGGAUUUACUGGGCGUAAAGGGCGCGUAGGCGGCGUGUUAAGUCAGCUGUGAAAUCUCCGAGCUUAACUCGGAACGGUCAGCUGAUACUGAUGUGCUAGAGUGCAGAAGGGGCAAUCGGAAUUCUUGGUGUAGCGGUGAAAUGCGUAGAUAUCAAGAGGAACACCUGAGGUGAAGACGGGUUGCUGGGCUGACACUGACGCUGAGGCGCGAAAGCUAGGGUAGCAAA